ACAACGAAGAGUUUGAUCCUGGCUCAGGAUGAACGCUAGCGGCAGGCCUAAUACAUGCAAGUCGAACGGUAAGGCACCUUCGGGUGUACACGAGUGGCGCACGGGUGAGUAACGCGUAUGCAACCUACCUUUAACUGGGGGAUAGCCCCGAGAAAUCGGGAUUAAUACCGCAUAAUGUUUUGAAAAGGCAUUUUUUUAAAACCAAAACUCCGGUGGUUAAAGAUGGGCAUGCGUGACAUUAGUUUGUUGGUGAGGUAACGGCUCACCAAGACUACGAUGUCUAGGGGGUUUGAGAGGAUGAUCCCCCACACUGGUACUGAGAUACGGACCAGACUCCUACGGGAGGCAGCAGUAGGGAAUAUUGGUCAAUGGGCGAAAGCCUGAACCAGCCAUGCCGCGUGCAGGAUGACUGCCCUAUGGGUUGUAAACUGCUUUUAUAUGAGAAGAAACCUCCGAACGUGUUCGGAGCUGACGGUAUCAUAUGAAUAAGGAUCGGCUAACUCCGUGCCAGCAGCCGCGGUAAUACGGAGGAUCCAAGCGUUGUCCGGAUUUACUGGGUCUAAAGGGUGCGUAGGCGGAUUGGUAAGUCAGUGGUGAAAGUCUGCAGCUUAA
This 612-nucleotide ribosomal RNA is filed under the name Bacteroidia bacterium. RNAcentral describes it as "bacterial SSU rRNA". It matches the Rfam family "Bacterial small subunit ribosomal RNA", at positions 1 to 612 of the family's 1533-position model. The record is from RNAcentral. Lineage: Bacteria; Pseudomonadati; Bacteroidota; Bacteroidia.